This 446-nucleotide ribosomal RNA is filed under the name uncultured bacterium. RNAcentral describes it as "partial 16S ribosomal RNA". It matches the Rfam family "Bacterial small subunit ribosomal RNA", at positions 338 to 795 of the family's 1533-position model. The record is from RNAcentral.
CCUACGGGCGGCAGCAGUCGAGAAUCAUUCACAAUGGGGGAAACCCUGAUGGUGCGACGCCGCGUGGGGGAAUGAAGGUCUUCGGAUUGUAAACCCCUGUCAUGUGGGAGCAAAUUAAAAAGAUAGUACCACAAGAGGAAGAGACGGCUAACUCUGUGCCAGCAGCCGCGGUAAUACAGAGGUCUCAAGCGUUGUUCGGAAUCACUGGGCGUAAGGCGGGCGUAGGCUGUUUCGUAAGUCGUGUGUGAAAGGCGCGGGCUCAACCCGCGGACGGCACAUGAUACUGCGAGACUAGAGUAAUGGAGGGGGAACCGGAAUUCUCGGUGUAGCAGUGAAAUGCGUAGAGAUCGAGAGGAACACUCGUGGCGAAGGCGGGUUCCUGGACAUUAACUGACGCUGAGGCACGAAGGCCAGGGGAGCGAAAGGGAUUAGAUACCCUUGUAGUC